UACGGAGGGUGCAAGCGUUAUUCGGAAUUACUGGGCGUAAAGCGUGCGUAGGUGGUUCGUUAAGUCCGUUGUGAAAGCCCCGAGCUCAACUUGGGAAUUGCAGUGGAUACUGGCGAGCUGGAGUGCGGUAGAGGAAGGUGGAAUUCCCGGUGUAGCGGUGAAAUGCGUAGAGAUCGGGAGGAACACCAGUGGCGAAGGCGGCCUUCUGGACCAGCACUGACACUCAAGCACGAAAGCGUGGGGAGCAAACAGG
Molecule: ribosomal RNA, 253 nt
Filed under: uncultured bacterium
Lineage: Bacteria
Description: partial 16S ribosomal RNA
Rfam family: Bacterial small subunit ribosomal RNA
Source: RNAcentral